CGGCCGAUGUCUGAUUAGCUAGUUGGUGGGGUAAAGGCCCACCAAGGCGACGAUCAGUAGCUGGUCUGAGAGGACGAUCAGCCACACUGGGACUGAGACACGGCCCAGACUCCUACGGGAGGCAGCAGUGGGGAAUUUUGGACAAUGGGGGCAACCCUGAUCCAGCAAUGCCGCGUGUGUGAAGAAGGCCUUCGGGUUGUAAAGCACUUUUGUCCGGAAAGUGACGGUACCGGAAGAAUAAGCACCGGCUAACUACGUGCCAGCAGCCGCGGUAAUACGUAGGGUGCGAGCGUUAAUCGGAAUUGCUGGGCGUAAAGCGUGCGCAGGCGGUUUUGUAAGACAGGCGUGAAAUCCCCGGGCUUAACCUGGGAAUUGCGCUUGUGACUGCAAGGCUAGAGUGCGUCAGGGGGGUAGAAUUCCACGUGUAGCAGUGAAAUGCGUAGAG
RNAcentral lists this ribosomal RNA (445 nucleotides) under uncultured bacterium. Its description in RNAcentral is "bacterial SSU rRNA". It matches the Rfam family "Bacterial small subunit ribosomal RNA", at positions 227 to 695 of the family's 1533-position model. The record is from RNAcentral.